GGCCACAGUGUGUCUCACAGAAGAAGGAAAUGGAGAGUGAGGGUGGUGGGGACUACAGCUGCCUUGUCCAAAAAACUGGGGCCUUAGAAUGUUGUUUUAGGCUUUAUUUU
Ceratotherium simum simum (southern white rhinoceros) is the source of this 110-nucleotide non-coding RNA. The record is from RefSeq and is a predicted model, not a curated record. NCBI's taxonomy places the organism in Eukaryota, Metazoa, Chordata, Mammalia, Perissodactyla, Rhinocerotidae.